Molecule: long non-coding RNA, 1960 nt
Organism: Planococcus citri (citrus mealybug)
Lineage: Eukaryota; Metazoa; Arthropoda; Insecta; Hemiptera; Pseudococcidae
Exons: 2
Source: RefSeq, a predicted model, not a curated record
AAAAAGGUACGGGGCAUGAUUCGAAACCAAGAACGUGUAAAAUUACACUGUGCGAAUGUUGGUUUAGCUAGUUCCACCAGUGUCGUCGAAAACGCGAAGAUGUUUACCUCGUCAGUGCGUUUAGAAGUGAUUGUUAGCUGAUUUUUUAUCACUACGUCUUCGCUGAUUAGAUUCAAGUUGACGACGAAGCGCCGGAAUUAUCUCGUAUGGUUGAACUGAGUGAACUUUUCCAGUCGAUGAUUUCAUCAUAAGCUAACCAUAGAUGGAACCACAGGAAACUGGACACGAAACUUACGAUGUAAAAUUUUGGUGAGUGAACUCAUAUUUUACUUAGUUAGGUACAUGUAAUGUAAGUAUUUUUACUGUCUUUUUGCGAACUUUGAGAACAUCUCAGCAGGAGCUAUUUCUAUGAAAUUCUCUCAAAAGGUAUGAGUAAGAAUGACACUCAAAAUUCGCGCAUGUUUAAGAAAUGAGUCGAUAGAAAAUCCAAAAGUUGUUCAAUAUAUUAUGUAAGUAUGAAUAAGGAAAAUUCAAGAUGAGAAAGCAGCCUCAUUUUAUUCCAAUUUUGUAAUGUAAAGAUUGAAUUUUGCGUUUUAAAGCAUUAAAUUUUUCCUGUGCGGAUCUCCUGAAAAAAUUUAGAUUAACAAUCGAAAAAAUUUUCGUCUUUUAAAAUUUUACGAGAAAUUUCUAUCAAUUUGGUUGGACCUGAUACUUGAUGAAAAUUAAAUAAAUUUUUUGUGCAGAUCAGUGAAAGUUCAGAGCCACGUUUUGAAGCCUGAGUGCCUGUCUGGCUGUCCAAGGUCGUGUUUCUGCUGUCUGACCUCUUAAGGUCAUUGACCCAUCAUUGUUAUCUUCCUAAGGUCGUCUGUCUAGCUUCUCAAGGUUAUUGGCUUGUUAGUUUUACCUCUCAAGGUCAUUGACCUAUCUUUCUGGCUUCUUGAGGUCGUCUAUUUGCCUGCCUGACCACAUAAGCUCAUUGACCUGUGAAUAGGACUUCUCAUGGGGACGUCUUGGCGGUCUUUUCAGCGUCUUAAGGUCAUUGACCCGACUGUCCCACCUUUCAAGGUCGUUUGUGUUCUUGUGUGACCUCAUAUAAGGUCAUUGACCCUCCUGUUUAGUGUUUGGCCUCUCAAAGUCGUCUGUAUUGUAUUUCUGUCUGGCAUAUUAAGACUAUUCACUUGUUACUCUGUCAGUAUGGCUUUUCUCAUGGCCGUCUGCCUGACUUUCCGGCUUCUUGAGGUCAUUGACCUGGCUGUCUGACCUACCAAGGUCAUUGACCCAUCUGUCUGCCCUCUCAAGUUCGUCUAUAUUCCUAUCUAGCCUCGUAAGGCGAAUGACCCGCCAGUACUCCCGAAAACAACUGUAAGAAGUGAAGGUCUUUCUUCGAGAAUCGAGAGAUUUAAGAAAAAUUGCGCCUCAACUGACUCAAGUCGGAAUAAUUGAACGCCGAGUGGGAGAAUCAAGAGUUGAAAUUCAACAUUAUUGGUUAUUUCCUGUUUCGAUAAUUUUUCACCUCAUUGUUUGUGAUUUUCGCCAAGGAAAAAUUGUCUUCAGUCUGCUUCAGUCCAAUUGGAAAGCAUCGCAAUUACGAGCUACCUCGUGUAGUUAUUGUAAUAAAAAAGAUGUCAAGAGAUGAUUAAAAUUAAAAAUGAAAUGGUUCAGUGCGUAAAUAUUUUUUUUGUAAAAAUAUAAAACAAUUUGUUCCUUAAAAUACUAGAGUUAAAUGAAAUAUUUACUCGUCCUAAACAAUAUUGGGACCAAAAAGUAGGUACCAUUAACCAUGAGUAACAUACAAUGAUUAGAAAAUAGAAAUAGAAAUGCAUUUUUCAUUAAGCAUUAGAUAGGUAGAUUUGUCUUGACUUCUGUAAUUGAUCGAACAGGCUACUUUUUAAACUAUAUAAAUAAAUACUGAUAUCGAUAUGAUAUGAAAACAAGUCUGUGAUUAAAUUUAAUCUUGUAA